GAUGAACGCUGGCGGCGUGCCUAAUACAUGCAAGUCGAGCGAACAGAUGAGGAGCUUGCUCCUCUGACGUUAGCGGCGGACGGGUGAGUAACACGUGGAUAACCUACCUAUAAGACUGGGAUAACUUCGGGAAACCGGAGCUAAUACCGGAUAAUAUAUUGAACCGCAUGGUUCAAUAGUGAAAGACGGUUUUGCUGUCACUUAUAGAUGGAUCCGCGCCGCAUUAGCUAGUUGGUAAGGUAACGGCUUACCAAGGCAACGAUGCGUAGCCGACCUGAGAGGGUGAUCGGCCACACUGGAACUGAGACACGGUCCAGACUCCUACGGGAGGCAGCAGUAGGGAAUCUUCCGCAAUGGGCGAAAGCUUGACGGAGCAACGCCGCGUGAGUGAUGAAGGUCUUCGGAUCGUAAAACUCUGUUAUUAGGGAAGAACAAAUGUGUAAGUAACUAUGCACGUCUUGACGGUAACUAAUCAGAAAGCCACGGCUAACUACGUG
RNAcentral lists this ribosomal RNA (497 nucleotides) under uncultured bacterium. RNAcentral's name for it is "partial 16S ribosomal RNA". It matches the Rfam family "Bacterial small subunit ribosomal RNA", at positions 28 to 507 of the family's 1533-position model. The record is from RNAcentral.